CAACUUUUGAAUGUUGACCUCGGAUCAGGUAGGAAUACCCGCUGAACUUAAGCAUAUCAAUAAGCGGAGGAAAAGAAACCAACAGGGAUUGCCCUAGUAACGGCGAGUGAAGCGGCAACAGCUCAAAUUUGAAAUCUGGCUCUCGGGCCCGAGUUGUAAUUUGUAGAGGAUACUUUUGAUGCGGUGCCUUCCGAGUUCCCUGGAACGGGACGCCAUAGAGGGUGAGAGCCCCGUCUGGUUGGAUGCCAAAUCUCUGUAAAGUUCCUUCGACGAGUCGAGUAGUUUGGGAAUGCUGCUCUAAAUGGGAGGUAUAUGUCUUCUAAAGCUAAAUACCGGCCAGAGACCGAUAGCGCACAAGUAGAGUGAUCGAAAGAUGAAAAGCACUUUGAAAAGAGAGUUAAAAAGUACGUGAAAUUGUUGAAAGGGAAGCGUUUAUGACCAGACUUGGGCUUGGUUAAUCAUCUGGGGUUCUCCCCAGUGCACUUUUCCAGUCCAGGCCAGCAUCAGUUUUCCCCGGGGGAUAAAGACUUCGGGAAUGUGGCUCUCUUCGGGGAGUGUUAUAGCCCGUUGUGUAAUACCCUGGGGGGGACUGAGGUUCGCGCAUCUGCAAUGGAUG
This 616-nucleotide ribosomal RNA is filed under the name Fusarium udum. RNAcentral describes it as "eukaryotic LSU rRNA". It matches the Rfam family "Eukaryotic large subunit ribosomal RNA", at positions 1 to 625 of the family's 3401-position model. Lineage: Eukaryota; Fungi; Ascomycota; Sordariomycetes; Hypocreales; Nectriaceae. The record is from RNAcentral.